UGGGGAAUAUUGGACAAUGGGCGCAAGCCUGAUCCAGCCAUGCCGCGUGAGUGACGAAGGUCUUCGGAUUGUAAAACUCUUUUGGCGGGGACGAUAAUGACGGUACCCGCAGAAUAAGCCCCGGCUAACUUCGUGCCAGCAGCCGCGGUAAUACGAAGGGGGCUAGCGUUGUUCGGAAUCACUGGGCGUAAAGCGCACGUAGGCGGAUGUGCCAGUCAGGGGUGAAAUCCCGGAGCUCAACUCCGGAACUGCCUCUGAUACUGCACGUCUUGAGUUCGAGAGAGGUGGGUGGAAUUCCUAGUGUAGAGGUGAAAUUCGUAGAUAUUAGGAAGAACACCGGUGGCGAAGGCGGCCCACUGGCUCGAUACUGACGCUGAGGUGCGAAAGCGUGGGGAGCAAACAGGAUUAGAUACCCUCGUAGUCCCUGAGCGGGCUGGCAAGGCGCAU
This 447-nucleotide ribosomal RNA is filed under the name uncultured bacterium. RNAcentral's name for it is "bacterial SSU rRNA". It matches the Rfam family "Bacterial small subunit ribosomal RNA", at positions 355 to 825 of the family's 1533-position model. The record is from RNAcentral.